UUCAUGUCUUUUGUAUUAAAGAAUUAAAUGGAUGAAAUAUGAAAUUUUAUUAAAAGAAAAAGGGGUGAAAAGAACAAAGUUUUGUCCAUCUUUGUUCAUCAUAGCCUAAAGUUAGAGAAGAGAAAGGAGAGGAGAAAGCUCUUGAAUGUUCAGUCACUUGGGGAAGAAAAUUGAAGGUGGUCCGUGUGUGGAUCUCGUCAGCAUAUCGUCGCAAACAGGGACUAAAUUGGAGGCGAAAAGUAAAUUCAAGGGAAAAGCGUCAAUUUGGAGAUUAAAUGGGCCAAUAUGCAACGUGGGACAAAUAUGGUGCCAAAAGUGCGAACAUGGAAGGCACAAGGACUUAAAAGCAAA
Molecule: long non-coding RNA, 351 nt
Organism: Gossypium arboreum
Lineage: Eukaryota; Viridiplantae; Streptophyta; Magnoliopsida; Malvales; Malvaceae
Exons: 3
Source: RefSeq, a predicted model, not a curated record